RNAcentral lists this ribosomal RNA (253 nucleotides) under uncultured bacterium. RNAcentral's name for it is "partial 16S ribosomal RNA". It matches the Rfam family "Bacterial small subunit ribosomal RNA", at positions 524 to 776 of the family's 1533-position model. The record is from RNAcentral.
UACGGAAGGGGCAAGCGUUGUUCGGAAUCAUUGGGCGUAAAGGGCGCGUAGGUGGUCUUGUAUGUCUACCGUGAAAGCAUACAGCUCAACUGUAUUUUGUCGGUAGAAACUGCAGGACUUGAGGCUGGGAGGGGCUGGUGGAAUUCCCUGUGUAGCGGUGAAAUGCGUAGAGAUGGGGGAGAACACUCGUGGCGAAGGCGGCCAGCUAGACCAGUUCUGACACUGAGGCGCGACAGCGUGGGGAGCAAACAGG